GACGAACGCUGGCGGCGUGCUUAACACAUGCCAGUCGAACGGACAGACAGAGAGCUUGCUCUCUUGAAGUUAGUGGCGAACGGGUGAGUAACGCGUAAUCAACCUGCCCUUCAGAGGGGGAUAACAACGGGAAACCGUUGCUAAUACCGCGUACGAUUCAUGAACGGCAUCGUUUAUGAAUGAAAGGUGGCCUCUAUGUAUAAGCUAUCGCUGAAGGAGGGGAUUGCGUCUGAUUAGCUAGUUGGAGGGGUAACGGCCCACCAAGGCAAUGAUCAGUAGCCGGUCGGAGAGGAUGAACGGCCACAUUGGGACUGAGACACGGCCCAAACUCCUACGGGAGGCAGCAGUGGGGAAUCUUCCGCAAUGGACGAAAGUCUGACGGAGCAACGCCGCGUGAGUGAUGAAGGUCUUCGGAUUGUAAAGCUCUGUUAAUCGGGACGAAAGAGUUCUGCGUGAAUAAUGCAGAAAAGUGACGGUACCGGAAUAGAAAGCCACGGCUAACUACGUGCCAGCCGCCGCGGUAA
This 524-nucleotide ribosomal RNA is filed under the name uncultured bacterium. Its description in RNAcentral is "partial 16S ribosomal RNA". It matches the Rfam family "Bacterial small subunit ribosomal RNA", at positions 28 to 523 of the family's 1533-position model. The record is from RNAcentral.